AAUACAUUGUUUUUGAAAGCUGUCUUCGAGAGCUGUUUGUGUCCUGUCCAAUUUGUAAGACAAAGUGUGUUGUCCAGAGCAGACGAAGGGGGACUUUUGUUGCAUUCACCCAGCUUUGUGAAAAGUGUAACUACUACAGACAGUGGCAGAGCCAGCCCAUUGUAGGGAGUACCCCACUUGGAAACCUGCUAUUGUCUGCUGCAACGUAUUUUACCGGUGGAUCUUUUAAACAACUAGAGAAGAUUUUCAAGGCCAUGAAGCUCCAGAUGAUGCAUUUCGUAACUUUUAGGAUUCAUGCCAGGAAUUUCAUUGAGCCUACCAUAAUACACAAGUGGAAGCAAGAUCAACUGAAUCUUAUAAGACAGCUGCAAGAGGGAGGAAAUGUUGCUGUGGCUGGAGAUAUGCGUGCUGACACGCCAGGACACUCAGCAAAAUUUGGCAGCUACACCAUUAUGCACAUGGAAACCAACAAAAUUCUG
Long non-coding RNA from Carassius carassius (crucian carp), 479 nucleotides. RefSeq lists it as uncharacterized. The record is from RefSeq and is a predicted model, not a curated record. Lineage: Eukaryota; Metazoa; Chordata; Actinopteri; Cypriniformes; Cyprinidae. The transcript has 3 exons.